UGUUAAAAAUUUCAUUCAUUUGUACUGUUAAAAACUGACAUACCUUAUGGAAUAACCAAAUAGUGGCAUGUCACGUGUACCUCAUAUUGAUGUACAAUAAUCAAUUUUUAAUAGUAGAAAUGAAUGAAAUUUUUAACU
Molecule: non-coding RNA, 138 nt
Organism: Gossypium arboreum
Lineage: Eukaryota; Viridiplantae; Streptophyta; Magnoliopsida; Malvales; Malvaceae
Source: Rfam